Molecule: ribosomal RNA, 2872 nt
Filed under: Escherichia coli 1-182-04_S1_C2
Lineage: Bacteria; Pseudomonadati; Pseudomonadota; Gammaproteobacteria; Enterobacterales; Enterobacteriaceae
Description: bacterial LSU rRNA
Rfam family: Bacterial large subunit ribosomal RNA
Source: RNAcentral
UACACGGUGGAUGCCCUGGCAGUCAGAGGCGAUGAAGGACGUGCUAAUCUGCGAUAAGCGUCGGUAAGGUGAUAUGAACCGUUAUAACCGGCGAUUUCCGAAUGGGGAAACCCAGUGUGAUUCGUCACACUAUCAUUAACUGAAUCCAUAGGUUAAUGAGGCGAACCGGGGGAACUGAAACAUCUAAGUACCCCGAGGAAAAGAAAUCAACCGAGAUUCCCCCAGUAGCGGCGAGCGAACGGGGAGCAGCCCAGAGCCUGAAUCAGUGUGUGUGUUAGUGGAAGCGUCUGGAAAGGCGCGCGAUACAGGGUGACAGCCCCGUACACAAAAAUGCACAUGCUGUGAGCUCGAUGAGUAGGGCGGGACACGUGGUAUCCUGUCUGAAUAUGGGGGGACCAUCCUCCAAGGCUAAAUACUCCUGACUGACCGAUAGUGAACCAGUACCGUGAGGGAAAGGCGAAAAGAACCCCGGCGAGGGGAGUGAAAAAGAACCUGAAACCGUGUACGUACAAGCAGUGGGAGCACGCUUAGGCGUGUGACUGCGUACCUUUUGUAUAAUGGGUCAGCGACUUAUAUUCUGUAGCAAGGUUAACCGAAUAGGGGAGCCGAAGGGAAACCGAGUCUUAACUGGGCGUUAAGUUGCAGGGUAUAGACCCGAAACCCGGUGAUCUAGCCAUGGGCAGGUUGAAGGUUGGGUAACACUAACUGGAGGACCGAACCGACUAAUGUUGAAAAAUUAGCGGAUGACUUGUGGCUGGGGGUGAAAGGCCAAUCAAACCGGGAGAUAGCUGGUUCUCCCCGAAAGCUAUUUAGGUAGCGCCUCGUGAAUUCAUCUCCGGGGGUAGAGCACUGUUUCGGCAAGGGGGUCAUCCCGACUUACCAACCCGAUGCAAACUGCGAAUACCGGAGAAUGUUAUCACGGGAGACACACGGCGGGUGCUAACGUCCGUCGUGAAGAGGGAAACAACCCAGACCGCCAGCUAAGGUCCCAAAGUCAUGGUUAAGUGGGAAACGAUGUGGGAAGGCCCAGACAGCCAGGAUGUUGGCUUAGAAGCAGCCAUCAUUUAAAGAAAGCGUAAUAGCUCACUGGUCGAGUCGGCCUGCGCGGAAGAUGUAACGGGGCUAAACCAUGCACCGAAGCUGCGGCAGCGACGCUUAUGCGUUGUUGGGUAGGGGAGCGUUCUGUAAGCCUGUGAAGGUGUGCUGUGAGGCAUGCUGGAGGUAUCAGAAGUGCGAAUGCUGACAUAAGUAACGAUAAAGCGGGUGAAAAGCCCGCUCGCCGGAAGACCAAGGGUUCCUGUCCAACGUUAAUCGGGGCAGGGUGAGUCGACCCCUAAGGCGAGGCCGAAAGGCGUAGUCGAUGGGAAACAGGUUAAUAUUCCUGUACUUGGUGUUACUGCGAAGGGGGGACGGAGAAGGCUAUGUUGGCCGGGCGACGGUUGUCCCGGUUUAAGCGUGUAGGCUGGUUUUCCAGGCAAAUCCGGAAAAUCAAGGCUGAGGCGUGAUGACGAGGCACUACGGUGCUGAAGCAACAAAUGCCCUGCUUCCAGGAAAAGCCUCUAAGCAUCAGGUAACAUCAAAUCGUACCCCAAACCGACACAGGUGGUCAGGUAGAGAAUACCAAGGCGCUUGAGAGAACUCGGGUGAAGGAACUAGGCAAAAUGGUGCCGUAACUUCGGGAGAAGGCACGCUGAUAUGUAGGUGAAGUCCCUCGCGGAUGGAGCUGAAAUCAGUCGAAGAUACCAGCUGGCUGCAACUGUUUAUUAAAAACACAGCACUGUGCAAACACGAAAGUGGACGUAUACGGUGUGACGCCUGCCCGGUGCCGGAAGGUUAAUUGAUGGGGUCAGCGCAAGCGAAGCUCUUGAUCGAAGCCCCGGUAAACGGCGGCCGUAACUAUAACGGUCCUAAGGUAGCGAAAUUCCUUGUCGGGUAAGUUCCGACCUGCACGAAUGGCGUAAUGAUGGCCAGGCUGUCUCCACCCGAGACUCAGUGAAAUUGAACUCGCUGUGAAGAUGCAGUGUACCCGCGGCAAGACGGAAAGACCCCGUGAACCUUUACUAUAGCUUGACACUGAACAUUGAGCCUUGAUGUGUAGGAUAGGUGGGAGGCUUAGAAGUGUGGACGCCAGUCUGCAUGGAGCCGACCUUGAAAUACCACCCUUUAAUGUUUGAUGUUCUAACGUUGACCCGUAAUCCGGGUUGCGGACAGUGUCUGGUGGGUAGUUUGACUGGGGCGGUCUCCUCCUAAAGAGUAACGGAGGAGCACGAAGGUUGGCUAAUCCUGGUCGGACAUCAGGAGGUUAGUGCAAUGGCAUAAGCCAGCUUGACUGCGAGCGUGACGGCGCGAGCAGGUGCGAAAGCAGGUCAUAGUGAUCCGGUGGUUCUGAAUGGAAGGGCCAUCGCUCAACGGAUAAAAGGUACUCCGGGGAUAACAGGCUGAUACCGCCCAAGAGUUCAUAUCGACGGCGGUGUUUGGCACCUCGAUGUCGGCUCAUCACAUCCUGGGGCUGAAGUAGGUCCCAAGGGUAUGGCUGUUCGCCAUUUAAAGUGGUACGCGAGCUGGGUUUAGAACGUCGUGAGACAGUUCGGUCCCUAUCUGCCGUGGGCGCUGGAGAACUGAGGGGGGCUGCUCCUAGUACGAGAGGACCGGAGUGGACGCAUCACUGGUGUUCGGGUUGUCAUGCCAAUGGCACUGCCCGGUAGCUAAAUGCGGAAGAGAUAAGUGCUGAAAGCAUCUAAGCACGAAACUUGCCCCGAGAUGAGUUCUCCCUGACUCCUUGAGAGUCCUGAAGGAACGUUGAAGACGACGACGUUGAUAGGCCGGGUGUGUAAGCGCAGCGAUGCGUUGAGCUAACCGGUACUAAUGAACC